GAUGAAGAACGAAGCGAAAUGCGAUAAGUAAUGUGAAUUGCAGAAUUCAGUGAAUCAUCGAAUCUUUGAACGCACAUUGCGCCCGCCAGUAUUCUGGCGGGCAUGCCUGUUCGAGCGUCAUUACAACCCUCAGGCCCCCGGGCCUGGCGUUGGGGAUCGGCGGAGCCCCCCGUGGGCACACGCCGUCCCCCAAAUGCAGUGGCGGUCCCGCCGCAGCUUCCAUCGCGUAGUAGCUAACACCUCGCGACUGGAGAGCGGCGCGGCCACGCCGUAAAACACCCAACUCUUCUGAAGUUGACCUCGAAUCAGGUAGGAAUACCCGCUGAACUUAAGCAUAUCAAUAAGCGGAGGA
This 352-nucleotide unclassified non-coding RNA is filed under the name soil metagenome. RNAcentral's name for it is "partial contains 5.8S ribosomal RNA, internal transcribed spacer 2, and large subunit ribosomal RNA". The stretch from base 1 to 120 matches the Rfam family "5.8S ribosomal RNA", at positions 35 to 154 of the family's 154-position model. The record is from RNAcentral.